UAGGCAAGCGGGGCGCAGAGGGAGAGGGGAGCGGAGCGGGAGCGAGAGAGCCAUCUUCAUACUUCACAUUUUGAGAAUUGAUGACUGAUAUUGACAACCUUGGAAUACUAAUAGCUCAUUAGUUUGUUAGCUCUACUUGCUGCUCAGUUCUAUCAAGAAGAAACUAGCGGGUGUACCCGCGCAUUUGCGCGGCUAGAUUUGGAUAUGUUUAUUUUUGUAAUGAAAGAUUAGUCUUUUGAUAUUUUGUUUAGUCAUCUAAACUUCUAUUAUUUUGUAUUGGCAUUAUGUAGAUGAUUAUCAUUAUUAUAUAACAAACUCCUCUACAUAUAGUGUUUUAGAUUCACACAGUUAUUUGCGUUUUGGUUAUCUCCAUUCUUUUAGCUUUCUAGCCAUUUUGACCUUUCGCAUCUCUCGACUACAUGGCCAUUCUUUUAGUUAUUAGCAAUUUUAUGGAGCUUUAUACGAAAAAUGUUAUAUCCAUCGUACGUUCCUAUGACAUCAAUUUUUUUAGUCGAUACUGUCAUUUGCACUUGUUAACAUCUAUAUAGUCAAUUUUGUUCAUCUGAUUGUGACUCCUCUGGUCAGGUCCUCAAACCCUAGCCGUUGUUGUGUGGAUGGAGGCACUACUCAUGUCGCACCGCGGACUGCUCGGUGCCAUGGUUCUCAUGUGAGCACACACGUAGGAGGAGAGACAGAUUCCUUGUCCAAUGAGUCCAGCCAGCGCGUUGCCGCCUUUCUCAUUGGUGGUGCGGUCAGGCCUCUACCACUCACGGGGCUCACGUGAUGAUGAUGAUAUUUGUCUUGACGCCCAUCUUUGUUUAGUCCUAGUGCUAUCCUGUGGUUACUCUUUCACAGGAGUUCACAUGGCAAUUUGUUCAGGUCAGAGGCAGUUGGGCGGGACUUCGUCGAACGUCGAGUGAAGCAGUUUGACCGUGGCUUCUUCGGUCGUUGAUUUGCAGGUCGCUGGUAGUUCUGUUGACUCCAAUCUCUGUGGGGCGUAAGUUGCGUGUUCUUUUGUGGUAUUGGCCGACCGACUUUGAUUUUAUUGUGCCCUUCUUGUGAUGUGUUCAAGUCGGCUGUCUUGGCUUACUACUUUUUCUUCAUUGGGUUGCGCUGGCUUGGUUGACAUGGCCAACAACGUGUGGAAAUCUGAUUAUAUAUUUGUCUUAUCUGAUUAUAUGUGCCCAUGUUUGGAAUUGCCGUCA
Long non-coding RNA from Hordeum vulgare subsp. vulgare (domesticated barley), 1205 nucleotides. RefSeq lists it as uncharacterized. The transcript has 4 exons. NCBI's taxonomy places the organism in Eukaryota, Viridiplantae, Streptophyta, Magnoliopsida, Poales, Poaceae. The record is from RefSeq and is a predicted model, not a curated record.